This 233-nucleotide long non-coding RNA is filed under the name Manihot esculenta (cassava). RNAcentral's name for it is "long non-coding RNA (MESC_LNC011089)". Lineage: Eukaryota; Viridiplantae; Streptophyta; Magnoliopsida; Malpighiales; Euphorbiaceae. The record is from RNAcentral.
UUUAUUUUAAAUUUUAUCUUUUUGUGCCUAUAUAAAGGCUCCUAGCAUUCAACCUGAAGAAUCAUAUUCUACCUCUCACUCUCAUUUCCUCUCUUGCUGCCCCUCACCUUCUUCUCCAUCUUCUUUUCUUUUUCUUAUUCUUUUACUUAGUUGUUAUAAUUUUAUUAUGGUCAUGAGUGGCUAAACAAUUUAUUUUCAGUUGAAGGUUAAAUUAAAUUGAGGUUUGUUCAAGU